This 80-nucleotide small RNA is filed under the name Flavobacterium omnivorum. RNAcentral's name for it is "Flavo-1 RNA". It matches the Rfam family "Flavo-1 RNA". Lineage: Bacteria; Pseudomonadati; Bacteroidota; Flavobacteriia; Flavobacteriales; Flavobacteriaceae. The record is from RNAcentral.
GCCUAGCCCAGAUAGCAGUGAAAAUCCUUUUUUGAGGCUUUUUGCCUCAAAAAAGAUUGCAACGGAUAGCUAGAAAUAGC